UACGUAGGGCGCGAGCGUUGUCCGGAAUUAUUGGGCGUAAAGAGCUCGUAGGCGGUUUGUCGCGUCGUUCGUGAAAACUCCACGCUUAACGUGGAGCGUGCGGGCGAUACGGGCAGACUUGAGUUCGGUAGGGGAGACUGGGAUUCCUGGUGUAGCGGUGAAAUGCGCAGAUAUCAGGAGGAACACCGGUGGCGAAGGCGGGUCUCUGGGCCGAUACUGACGCUGAGGAGCGAAAGCGUGGGGAGCGAACAGG
RNAcentral lists this ribosomal RNA (253 nucleotides) under uncultured bacterium. Its description in RNAcentral is "partial 16S ribosomal RNA". It matches the Rfam family "Bacterial small subunit ribosomal RNA", at positions 524 to 776 of the family's 1533-position model. The record is from RNAcentral.